Equus caballus (horse) is the source of this 145-nucleotide microRNA precursor. The record is from Ensembl. NCBI's taxonomy places the organism in Eukaryota, Metazoa, Chordata, Mammalia, Perissodactyla, Equidae.
CGUGUCGGCCAGCAGCGUGGCGGGCUCGGCGCAGAAGAUGGAGAAGCUGAGCUGCAGGCGGCCGCCGCGCGUCAGGAUGAGCUCCAGGAAGUCGCAGAAGCCCUCGUCGUCGAAGUAGAGCACUAGGCCGCGCGCGCUGCGCGUC